GGGAUGAGCAGCUGACCAUUCUUCAAAUACGAAUUGACAAGCAGAGCGAAAGUAUGUUCCGUGACAACCGAACAGCCCUUCUGCAAUCAUAUGAGAAUCAGCUGUAUGCAUUGGAGGAUCGCCUUGCUGCAACCGAGAAGACCAUUAGCGAGAUCGAGGAGUUCAUAGGGUUCAUUCAGAGUGAAAUUGCUGGAGUGAAAGAAGCACUUGCUAAUCGAGGUUCUGAUAUCCUACUUUGUGUUUUUUUAGUUAUUUUUGCAGUAAUCUCUUGUGUUUUCAUGCGUUGGGAUGUAGAAUAGAGGACCAAGAGACUUGUGUAACCUUUAAGUAGACUAG
RNAcentral lists this long non-coding RNA (336 nucleotides) under Eutrema salsugineum. RNAcentral's name for it is "long non-coding RNA (ESAL_LNC000238)". The record is from RNAcentral. Lineage: Eukaryota; Viridiplantae; Streptophyta; Magnoliopsida; Brassicales; Brassicaceae.